GAUCCUGGCUCAGGAUGAACGCUGGCGGCGUGCCUAACACAUGCAAGUCGAGCGAUCUCUUCGGAGAGAGCGGCGGACGGGUGAGUAACGCGUGGGUAACCUGCCCUGUACACACGGAUAACAUACCGAAAGGUAUGCUAAUACGGGAUAAUAUAUAAGAGUCGCAUGACUUUUAUAUCAAAGAUUUUUCGGUACAGGAUGGACCCGCGUCUGAUAGUCUUGUUUGGUCGGGGGUAACGGGUACCCGACCCAAACGG
This 257-nucleotide ribosomal RNA is filed under the name uncultured bacterium. Its description in RNAcentral is "partial 16S ribosomal RNA". It matches the Rfam family "Bacterial small subunit ribosomal RNA", at positions 15 to 279 of the family's 1533-position model. The record is from RNAcentral.